Molecule: ribosomal RNA, 447 nt
Filed under: uncultured bacterium
Lineage: Bacteria
Description: bacterial SSU rRNA
Rfam family: Bacterial small subunit ribosomal RNA
Source: RNAcentral
UGUCCAGACUCCUACGGGAGGCAGCAGUGGGGAAUAUUGCACAAUGGGGGAAACCCUGAUGCAGCGACGCCGCGUGAGUGAAGAAGUAUUUCGGUAUGUAAAGCUCUAUCAGCAGGGAAGAAAAUGACGGUACCUGAUUAAGAAGCCCCGGCUAACUACGUGCCAGCAGCCGCGGUAAUACGUAGGGGGCAAGCGUUAUCCGGAUUUACUGGGUGUAAAGGGAGCGUAGACGGCAGCACAAGUCUGGAGUGAAAUGCCGGGGCUUAACCCCGGAACUGCUUUGGAAACUGUGCAGCUAGAGUGCAGGAGAGGUAAGUGGAAUUCCUAGUGUAGCGGUGAAAUGCGUAGAUAUCAUGAAGAACUCCGAUCGCGAAGGCAAGUGUCCGGGGUGCAACUGACGCUGAGGCUCGAAAGUGCGGGUAUCAAACAGGAUUAGAUACCCUAGUA